AUUGAACGCUGGCGGCAGGCCUAACACAUGCAAGUCGAACGAGUGGCGGACGGGUGAGUAAUGUCUGGGAAACUGCCCGAUGGAGGGGGAUAACUACUGGAAACAGUAGCUAAUACCGCAUACCAUCGGAUGUGCCCAGAUGGGAUUAGCUAGUAGGUGGGGUAACGGCUCACCUAGGCGACGAUCCCUAGCUGGUCUGAGAGGAUGACCAGCGACAUUGGGACUGAGGUACGGACCAAGCUCGUACGGGGGGCAGCGGUGGGGAAUAUUGCGCAAUGGGGGAGACCCUGAUACAGCAGCGCCGCGUGCGGGAUGACGGCCUUCGGGUUGUAAACCGCUUUCAGCUAUGACGCGGUAGUGGCAGAAGAAGCACCGGCUAACUACGUGCCAGCAGCCGCGGUAAUAC
This 406-nucleotide ribosomal RNA is filed under the name uncultured bacterium. Its description in RNAcentral is "partial 16S ribosomal RNA". It matches the Rfam family "Bacterial small subunit ribosomal RNA", at positions 29 to 526 of the family's 1533-position model. The record is from RNAcentral.